RNAcentral lists this long non-coding RNA (471 nucleotides) under Nicotiana benthamiana. RNAcentral's name for it is "long non-coding RNA (NBEN_LNC003828)". The record is from RNAcentral. Lineage: Eukaryota; Viridiplantae; Streptophyta; Magnoliopsida; Solanales; Solanaceae.
ACUGAAUCUUAAACGAUGGAGAUGAGGGAGAAAAGAGAUGGGCUGGUCGUGAGUGAAUGUUUUCCGGCAUGUGUUUGCGAUGGGGGUUCGUGGGUGUUCCAGUGGAAGGAUGCCGCUGGUUUGUUCUAGUUGUUGGACGACUGGUUCAGGUGUGAAGUGGGGCUGGAGGACCGAAGGUGAGCUGGGAGGUGAAGGAAGAUGACUGUCCGUUUGACGAUGAUGGGGAGGCAAUGGUCGACUGGAUGCGUCACUGGUCGACGACAUGACGAGCUGACUGGAGGUUCGACGAUGGUUGUGGCUUGGACGUGAGGAGGGAGAGGCGGCUGGUUCACGUGCAGGUCGACGGAGCUGAUGUCAGUGUGAGUUAAAAAGGGGUCGCCGCCAAAGACGACGGGAAAAGGGAACUGGUCGACGAGGCUGGGGUUGAAGAGGUGUUUCCCGGCAAGUUUUUGGGUUGAAGAUGGAGGUGGC